ACUCAAAUGAAUUGACGGGGACCCGCACAAGCAGCGGAGCGUGUGGUUUAAUUCGAAGCAACGCGAAGAACCUUACCAGGGUUUGACAUGCAGUCGCACCACCCAGAGAUGGGUGUGCCCGCAAGGGACGGCUGCACAGGUGCUGCAUGGCUGUCGUCAGCUCGUGUCGUGAGAUGUUGGGUUAAGUCCCGCAACGAGCGCAACCCCCAUCGUCGGUUACUGGUGUCCGGCGAGACUGCCGCGAUCAACGUGGAGGAAGGUGGGGAUGACGUCAAGUCAGCACGGCCCUUACGUCCUGGGCGACACACACGCUACAAUGGUCGGGACAAAGAGUUGCCAACCCGCGAGGGGGAGCUAAUCUCGAAAAGCCGAUCUCAGUUCAGAUUGGAGGCUGCAACCCGCCUCCAUGAAGCCGGAGUUGCUAGUAACCGUAGGUCAGCACACUACGGUGAAUACGUUCCCGGGUCUUGUACACACCGCCCGU
Molecule: ribosomal RNA, 484 nt
Filed under: uncultured bacterium
Lineage: Bacteria
Description: partial 16S ribosomal RNA
Rfam family: Bacterial small subunit ribosomal RNA
Source: RNAcentral